GUAGCGAAAGUUACGCUAAUACCGCAUAUUCUGUGAGCAGGAAAGCAGGGGAUCGCAAGACCUUGCGCUGAUUGAGCGGCCGAUAUCAGAUUAGCUAGUUGGUGAGGUAAAGGCUCACCAAGGCGACGAUCUGUAGCGGGUCUGAGAGGAUGAUCCGCCACACUGGAACUGAGACACGGUCCAGACUCCUACGGGAGGCAGCAGUGGGGAAUUUUGGACAAUGGGGGCAACCCUGAUCCAGCCAUGCCGCGUGAGUGAAGAAGGCCUUCGGGUUGUAAAGCUCUUUCGGCCGGGAAGAAAUCGCAUGGGUUAAUACCCUGUGCGGAUGACGGUACCGGCAUAAGAAGCACCGGCUAACUACGUGCCAGCAGCCGCGGUAAUACGUAGGGUGCGAGCGUUAAUCGGAAUUACUGGGCGUAAAGCGUGCGCAGGCGUUUUUGUAAGACAGGCGUGAAAUCCCCGGGCUCAACCUGGGAACUGCGCUUGUGACUGCAAGGCUAGAGUACGGCAGAGGGGGGAGGAAUUCCACGUGUAGCAGUGAAAUGCGUAGAGAUGUGGAGGAACACCAAUGGCGAAGGCAGCCCCCUGGGUCGAUACUGACGCUCAUGCACGAAAGCGUGGGUAGCAAACAGGAUUAGAUACCCUGGUAGUCCACGCCCUAAACGAUGUCAACUAGGUGUUGGGUGGGUAAAACCAUUUAGUACCGGAGCUAACGCGUGAAGUUGACCGCCUGGGGAGUACGGCCGCUAGGUUAAAACUCAAAGGAAUUGACGGGGACCCGCACAAGCGGUGGAUGAUGUGGAUUAAUUCGAUGCAACGCGAAAAACCUUACCUACCCUUGACAUGUCCAGGAGCCUGAAGAGAUUUGGGUGUGCCCGAAAGGGAACUGGAACACAGGUGCUGCAUGGCUGUCGUCAGCUCGUGUCGCGAGAUGUUGGGUUAAGUCCCGCAACGAGCGCAACCCUUGUCGUUAAUUGCCAUCAUUUAGUUGGGCACUUUAACGAGACUGCCGGUGACAAACCGGAGGAAGGUGGGGAUGACGUCAAGUCCUCAUGGCCCUUAUGGGUAGGGCUUCACACGUCAUAAAUGGUCGGUACAAAGGGUCGCCAACCCGCGAGGGGGAGCCAAUCCCAGAAAGCCGAUCGUAGUCCGGAUCGUAGGCUGCAACUCGCCUGCGUGAAGUCGGAAUCGCUAGUAAUCGUGGAUCAGCAUGUCACGGUGAAUACGUUCCCGGGUCUUGUACACACCGCCCGUCACACCAUGGGAGCGGGUUCCGCCAGAAGUAGGUAGCCUAACCGCAAGGGGGGCGCUUACCACGGCGGGGUUCGUGACUGGGGUGAAGUCGGAACAAGGUA
RNAcentral lists this ribosomal RNA (1355 nucleotides) under metagenome. Its description in RNAcentral is "bacterial SSU rRNA". It matches the Rfam family "Bacterial small subunit ribosomal RNA", at positions 148 to 1498 of the family's 1533-position model. The record is from RNAcentral.